This 104-nucleotide small nuclear RNA is filed under the name Octodon degus (degu). Lineage: Eukaryota; Metazoa; Chordata; Mammalia; Rodentia; Octodontidae. The record is from RNAcentral.
GUGCUCGCUUCGGCAGCAUACAUACUAAAAUUGGAACGAUACAGAGAUUAGCAUGGCCCCUGAGCAAGGAUGACACGCAAAUUCAUGAAGUGUUCUGUAUUUUU